Molecule: ribosomal RNA, 253 nt
Filed under: uncultured bacterium
Lineage: Bacteria
Description: partial 16S ribosomal RNA
Rfam family: Bacterial small subunit ribosomal RNA
Source: RNAcentral
UACAGAGGUGCCAAGCGUUAGGCGGAAUCACUGGGCUUAAAGCGUGUGUAGGUGGAUGUCUAAGUACCUUGUGAAAUCCCAUGGCUCAACCAUGGAACUGCUCGGUAUACUGGACGUCUUGAGCCACUUAGGGGCUACCGGAACAAAUGGUGGAGCGGUGAAAUGCGUAGAGAUGUGGAGGAACACCAGUGGCGAAGGCGACUCUUUGGCCUGUAACUGACGCUGAGGCGCGAAAGCGUGGGGAGCAAACAGG